This 492-nucleotide ribosomal RNA is filed under the name uncultured bacterium. RNAcentral's name for it is "partial 16S ribosomal RNA". It matches the Rfam family "Bacterial small subunit ribosomal RNA", at positions 29 to 507 of the family's 1533-position model. The record is from RNAcentral.
AGUGAACGCUGGCGGUAGGCCUAACACAUGCAAGUCGAACGGCAGCACAGUAAGAGCUUGCUCUUACCGGUGGCGAGUGGCGGACGGGUGAGGAAUACAUCGGAAUCUACUUUUUCGUGGGGGAUAACGUAGGGAAACUUACGCUAAUACCGCAUACGACCUACGGGUGAAAGCAGGGGAUCUUCGGACCUUGCGCGAUUGAAUGAGCCGAUGUCGGAUUAGCUAGUUGGCGGGGUAAAGGCCCACCAAGGCGACGAUCCGUAGCUGGUCUGAGAGGAUGAUCGGCCACACUGGAACUGAGACACGGUCCAGACUCCUACGGGAGGCAGCAGUGGGGAAUAUUGGACAAUGGGCGCAAGCCUGAUCCAGCCAUACCGCGUGGGUGAAGAAGGCCUUCGGGUUGUAAAGCCCUUUUGUUGGGAAAGAAAAGCAGCAGGUUAAUACCCCGCUGUUCUGACGGUACCCAAAGAAUAAGCACCGGCUAACUUCGUG